GACGAACGCUGGCGGCGUGCUUAACACAUGCAAGUCGAACGGAAAGGCCCCUUUGGGGGUACUCGAGUGGCGAACGGGUGAGUAACACGUGAGUAACCUGCCCUUGACUUCGGGAUAACUUCAGGAAACUGGGGCUGAUACCGGAUAGGAAUCCUUGCUGCAUGGUGGGGGUUGGAAAGCUUCGGCGGUUUUGGAUGGACUCGCGGCUUAUCAGCUUGUUGGUGGGGUAGUGGCUUACCAAGGCUUUGACGGGUAGCCGGCCUGAGAGGGCGACCGGCCACAUUGGGACUGAGAGACGGCACAGACUCCUACGGGAGGCAGCAGUGGGGAAUAUUGCACAAUGGGCGGAAGCCGGAUGCAGCAACGCCGCGUGCGGGAUGACGGCCUUCGGGUUGUAAACCGCUUUCAGCAGGGGCGAAGCUUGUGGUGACGGUACCUGCAGAAGAAGCACCGGCUAACUACGUG
This 465-nucleotide ribosomal RNA is filed under the name uncultured bacterium. RNAcentral's name for it is "partial 16S ribosomal RNA". It matches the Rfam family "Bacterial small subunit ribosomal RNA", at positions 28 to 507 of the family's 1533-position model. The record is from RNAcentral.